Molecule: unclassified non-coding RNA, 182 nt
Filed under: Paraglomus occultum
Lineage: Eukaryota; Fungi; Glomeromycota; Glomeromycetes; Paraglomerales; Paraglomeraceae
Description: partial contains 5.8S ribosomal RNA and internal transcribed spacer 2
Rfam family: 5.8S ribosomal RNA (bases 1-65)
Source: RNAcentral
GUGAAUCAUCGAAUUUUUGAACGCAAAUUGCGCCUUUUUCGGAAGGCAUGUCUGUUUGAGGGCACCAUUUAACAAAUAAUGUGCAUUUCGUGUUGACACGCUGAUGAGCUUUCCUAAAUUAUGUAUUAUUAUUUUUGGUGGCCCAUAAUAAACAGCGGGAUGCUUUUUUUAAGUUGGGGGUU